RNAcentral lists this long non-coding RNA (2343 nucleotides) under Triticum aestivum (bread wheat). RNAcentral describes it as "long non-coding RNA (TAES_LNC018612)". The record is from RNAcentral. Lineage: Eukaryota; Viridiplantae; Streptophyta; Magnoliopsida; Poales; Poaceae.
UUGUCCAUAGGAGGCGUGCUCCACAUCUUUCUUCUCUUCCCCAAGCCAAAGGGAAGAAUCCCUUUCUCCUCUCUUCUCCAGCCAGCCUACUCCCUCCUCCCUUCCUUCCCCACUCCUCCCUAGGUGCCUCCUUGCUGCACCACGCCCUUCACCAUCUCCAUGGCUGCCCUUUCAUUCAGGGCUUUGAGGAAGAAGGAAAUGAGACAAGAAGAGGGAGAACAAGAAAGCUUCCCAAACUUUUCCCUUCACCAAAUCUUUGUGAUUUGACCAUAGAGGUGAGUUUCCCCAUCAUUUAUGAUCUCUCACCCUCUAUUAGUGAUGAUUCAUGGAGCAUAGGGUUAGGACUAGAAACCUUUGUGAAGGAAUUGGGGAAAAAGUUGUUCAUGCUGUUGUUUCUGUGCGUUCAGAUCUGGAACCCAGCAAUUUCAAGUUCCUAUAUGGCACAAUUAGGUGGGGGUCAUGUGGAAUGUUUUGUAGGUAUUGUUCCCACAAUCUUUUUGAGUGGUCAUUCACUCAAUUUGGUUCAGCCGUUUAGCCGGGGCGAUAAAAACAAGUUGCUGCUCUGUUUCUGCAAAACAACAUUUCUAUAGUUUUUGCCCAUAGCUUUUCAGGAUCUUCGAGGGCUGAUAAAUUGAUGCUAUUCAAUGGUAUAGCUACCUGAUACCUUUUAGUUCAUAGAUCAAUUUUAUUUACUUACUCCCCAUGAGUAUUGGUCUUGCUAUGGAUUUCCAAAGGCGGCUACUCCUUAUUCCCGAAUCUGAAAACAGCAGAGAUGUUUUUGCUGGUUUUGACCCCCAUAAGCUCAUAAUCUGAGGUUGAAUAGUUGGAGUUAUUUGUAGAUGAGGUCCCCAUAAAUCCAUAGCCAUCUCGCUUGCAUGUUUUAGAGCUUCCUAGCUUGAGCUAUGAUUUUUUCCGUGAAGGGACAGCAAAGGGUUGCUUCCCAGGAAUGCGAUUAGGCACGUUUUUGUGUGUGCUUUACAUAGCUUGUUUUGAUGCAAUCUUUAAAACUUGUAUGUAUGUCUCUACAGCAGGUUGCAGCACCAAUCCAGCGGUGAUAGCCUCGCACCACCUCCCUCACAACGGUUGAUGCGAGUACACCGGGCAACAAGAGCUAGAUUGCUCCCUUAAUAUUAUGUUCAUGUUCACGUUAUUCCUUUACAUUCAUGCAAUGGUGAACAUACAACUCCCUAGUGUACAUUUCAAUACACCAUACCACUAGUAUGUGAUAGGGAUUGGUUUUUCUUGGUUCUUGAUAACAAAUCCAUCAUGAGUGAAUCUUCCAAGUUCAAAGAGUGAUCCACGCUUCGCGAGCGUAUGGUCCUUCGGGUCCGUCCUCAUGUUAUGGUCCUCUCACUUGGUGAGGGUUGAAAAGGAGUGAGGUGAGACGUCGCCCCUCGUCAGCUUGCUGGCAAAAGCUCAAAGCCAAGUCCUCGGUCUUAUUUGGUUUAAUUGUUUCUUCUUGCAUUCUCAUGCUAUUCCAAGCAUGGGAGGUUUGAGUAUAGGAUUCACCUUUUCAAGAAUAGUUCAUAAACAUGGUCUUACUUGCUAUGCUUUACAUGCUUUGUUGUGUACUUGCUGAGUCUUUCGACUCACCCCUCGUGGACUUUGUUUCAGGUACAUCACCAUGAGGCUUUGCAAGUAGUAGGAAGGGUGUAGCUCCCAUGGGUGUCCACUCACACAUUUCACACCCCUUCCAUCCACCUAGCUGAUCAUGAUAACUCUCGUACUUAGGUCCAUGAUUCUAAAUAGCUAGGAUCUACGUGUUGUAUAUAAACUUUGCCUUGGUUUGUUCCCAUGACCUUUGUGCUUACGUGUCAAGGUGGGUUGAAGUUUGUUAGUCCCCACCUAGUAUCAUGCAUGCUUGGAACGUGUGUUUCCUUCGUUAUGUGUGGCAUAACGGUUUGUGGUUUCACCACUGUGCUCUAUAUGGGUUAUAUGAUCUUGUAAAUGUUUCCGCUUGUGAUAUUGUAUAAGCUCUGUUUAUUCAAUUGCCUGUCGUGGAUGUCCGACAGUACAAAGGAGGUGUUGCCGGAUUUUCCCAUGGGCAUGUUUGGUUUGCUUGUAUUCUUGGUGGUAACAUUCCUUCUUACAAGGAGGGGUGUUAUAGUUGGUAUCAAUUAAGCUCUAUCUUUGCUAUACUUGCGUAAGCAUGUAGACCAAUGAAAGAUCCUAGGACCUUAGAAAUACUUGCUUGCUAGAUGUAAUUGUUUGCUUGUUAGUAUAAAACAAAAUUGAUGAGGGUGUCAAUUCUUUUGAGAUUGGGUGAAAUACACCAAUGCUCUUACUAGUAUGUUGUUAGGUUCUUUCUAAAUAAAAAACUUGAUUAGAUGGUUAGAAAAACAU